AACGCACAUUGCACCCGGUGGUAUUCCGCCGGGUAUGCCUGUUCGAGCGUCAUUAUAACCACUCAAGCCUGUCUUGGUGUUGGGGAUUGCGAAUCUUGCAGCCCUAGAGUCCAGUAGCGUCACCUGUAGGUCCUAAGCGUAGUAAUUUCUCCUCGCUACAGAGCCUGCCGGUGGAUAGUGUCAAUCCAGUUAAGUCUGCGUGUCCUGCUAUUAAACCCCCAAAUUUUAAAGGUUGACCUCGGAUCAAGUAGGGAUACCCGCUGAACUUAA
This 270-nucleotide unclassified non-coding RNA is filed under the name uncultured Helotiales. RNAcentral describes it as "sequence contains ITS2". The record is from RNAcentral. Lineage: Eukaryota; Fungi; Ascomycota; Leotiomycetes; Helotiales.